Molecule: ribosomal RNA, 253 nt
Filed under: uncultured bacterium
Lineage: Bacteria
Description: partial 16S ribosomal RNA
Rfam family: Bacterial small subunit ribosomal RNA
Source: RNAcentral
CACGUAGGGGGCAAGCGUUGUCCGGAUUUAUUGGGCGUAAAGAGCUCGUAGGCGGUUCGGUAAGUCGGGUGUGAAACCUCCAGGCUCAACCUGGAGACGCCACCCGAUACUGCUGUGACUAGAGUCCGGUAGGGGAGCGUGGAAUUCCUGGUGUAGCGGUGAAAUGCGUAGAUAUGGGAGAACACCCGGUGGCGAAGGCGGCUAUCUGGACCGGUACUGACGCUGAGACGCGAAAGCGGGUGGAGCAAACAGG